AGUGAACGCUGGCGGUAGGCCUAACACAUGCAAGUCGAACGGCAGCACAGUAAGAGCUUCCUCUUACGGGUGGCUAGCGGCGGACGGGUGAGGCAUACAUCGGAAUCUACUUUUUCGUAGUGGAUAACGUAGGGAAACUUACGCUAAUACCGCAUACGACCUACGGAUGAAAGCAGGCGAUCUUCGGACCUUGCGCGAUUGAAUGAGCCGAUGUCGGAUGAGCUAGUUGGCGGGGUAAAGGCCUACCAAGGCGACGGUCCGUAGCUGGUAUGAGGGGAUGAUCCGCCAGACUGGAACUGAGACACGGUCCAGACACUUACGGGAGGCAGCGGUGGGGAAUAUUGGACGAUGGGCGCAAGCCUGAUCCAGCCAUACCGGGGGAGUGAAGAAGGCCUUAGGGUUGUAAAGCGCUUUUGUUGGGAGAGAAAAGAAGCAGGUUAAUCCCCCGCUGUUAUGACGGUACCCAAAGAAUAAGCACCGGCUAACUUCGUG
RNAcentral lists this ribosomal RNA (492 nucleotides) under uncultured bacterium. RNAcentral's name for it is "partial 16S ribosomal RNA". It matches the Rfam family "Bacterial small subunit ribosomal RNA", at positions 29 to 507 of the family's 1533-position model. The record is from RNAcentral.